This 48-nucleotide transfer RNA is filed under the name Gerbilliscus leucogaster (Bushveld gerbil). RNAcentral's name for it is "partial tRNA-Thr". Lineage: Eukaryota; Metazoa; Chordata; Mammalia; Rodentia; Muridae. The record is from RNAcentral.
UUACACUGUUCUGUAAACCGACAAUGAAGAACUUUUCUUCUCAAGACA